CCACAGACCACCUACUGCCAGACCUCAACGCCUCACAAAACUCUCACCCACCUACUGCUUUUAGCUCACAUUCCAGGAAUUCAGAUGAAGUGAAGUGCUCUCAUGGGGACCAGGCAUGGUUAUUCCAGUCCACUGCCCUGCAAGCCUCAAGGGAAGCCAACUGCCCUUCAGCAAGUCACACCUGCCUUGGUGGAGGCCUUGAUUGGAAGUGCCACACGCUACAUGUCCAGUCCUGAGCGGGAGAAUCGGUGUAGGGACGUUGUGGGGAUGCCGGCUGUGGCCAGAUCAGGUCCAGCUACAGAAGAAUGAAGACUCCACCUGAGGGCUGGAAAAACAAAACCUCAAGUGUGAGGCAGCCAACCUGUUACCUCGAGGGACUGUCCCGCAGCACAGCGGGGCCAUGGGAACAGCAGCAGACACCCCGGCCUCCUCGCUACCUGUAUCAACUAUGGCCUGAGUAUGAUAGACUUAUCCAUGGUUUAAACAGAAUAUAUUGUUUUCAACUUUGAAAAUAAGAAUAUGGAAAUCCAGAUGCAGAAAUGUGAGAAGAAAAGAGAGUAAACAGAGUGGAAGGUCAGGUGACCUUGCCUGUCAUGAAUAUGAAGGUCAAGGUGUGUGAAUUGUGAAAUUUCCAAGAGAACCUCACUGAAGCAAAGAAUGGAGAAAGAAUCGCAUUUGGCCCUGGGAGCGUGCAGGGGUGAAUGGUGCAGGAGCUAAAUCUUUAUCAUACCCAGAAAUCAACAGCCACUAUUUGAAAUCAUCUAAAUUCGUGCUGCUAACCUUCAGUGUACACACAAAUCACCUGGGGAUCUUAUUAAAA
This 820-nucleotide long non-coding RNA is filed under the name Pan troglodytes (chimpanzee). Its description in RNAcentral is "long non-coding RNA NONPTRT010281". Lineage: Eukaryota; Metazoa; Chordata; Mammalia; Primates; Hominidae. The record is from RNAcentral.